AUUGAACGCUGGCGGCAGGCCUAACACAUGCAAGUCGAACGAGUGGCGGACGGGUGAGUAAUGUCUGGGAAACUGCCUGAUGGAGGGGGAUAACUACUGGAAACGGUAGCUAAUACCGCAUACCAUCAGAUGUGCCCAGAUGGGAUUAGCUAGUAGGUGGGGUAACGGCGCACCUAGGCGACGAUCCCUAGCUGGUCUGAGAGGAUGACGAGCCACACGUGAAAUGGGACACGGUCCAGACUCCGACGGGAGGCAGCAGGGGGGAAAAUUGCACAAUGGGCGCAAGCCUGAUGCAGCCAUGCCGCGUGUGUGAAGAAGGCCUUGGGGUUGUAAAGCACUUUCAGCGGGGAGGCGUUACCCGCAGAAGAAGCACCGGCUAACUCCGUGCCAGCAGCCGCGGUAAUUC
RNAcentral lists this ribosomal RNA (406 nucleotides) under uncultured bacterium. RNAcentral's name for it is "partial 16S ribosomal RNA". It matches the Rfam family "Bacterial small subunit ribosomal RNA", at positions 29 to 526 of the family's 1533-position model. The record is from RNAcentral.